This 468-nucleotide ribosomal RNA is filed under the name uncultured bacterium. Its description in RNAcentral is "partial 16S ribosomal RNA". It matches the Rfam family "Bacterial small subunit ribosomal RNA", at positions 28 to 507 of the family's 1533-position model. The record is from RNAcentral.
GACGAACGCUGGCGGCGUGCUUAACACAUGCAAGUCGAACGGAAAGGCCCUGCUUUUGUGGGGUGCUCGAGUGGCGAACGGGUGAGUAACACGUGAGUAACCUGCCCUUGACUUUGGGAUAACUUCAGGAAACUGGGGCUAAAACCGGAUAGGAGCUCCUGCUGCAUGGUGGGGGUUGGAAAGUUUCGGCGGUUGGGGAUGGACUCGCGGCUUAUCAGCUUGUUGGUGGGGUAGUGGCUUACUAAGGCUUUGACGGGUAGCCGGCCUGAGAGGGUGACCGGCCACAUUGGGACUGAGAUACGGCCCAGACUCCUACGGGAGGCAGCAGUGGGGAAUAUUGCACAAUGGGCGGAAGCCUGAUGCAGCAACGCCGCGUGCGGGAUGACGGCCUUCGGGUUGUAAACCGCUUUCGCCUGUGACGAAGCGUGAGUGACGGUAAUGGGUAAAGAAGCACCGGCUAACUACGUG